UGGGCAACCUGCCCUCAGCUCUGGGAUAACCCCGGGAAACCGGGGCUAAUACCGGAUACGACCUCCACGGGCAUCUGCGGAGGUGGAAAGUUUUUGCGGCUGAGGAUGGGCCCGCGGCCUAUCAGCUUGUUGGUGGGGUGACGGCCCACCAAGGCGACGACGGGUAGCCGGCCUGAGAGGGCGACCGGCCACACUGGGACUGAGACACGGCCCAGACUCCGUACGGGAGCA
RNAcentral lists this ribosomal RNA (231 nucleotides) under uncultured bacterium. RNAcentral describes it as "partial 16S ribosomal RNA". It matches the Rfam family "Bacterial small subunit ribosomal RNA", at positions 118 to 347 of the family's 1533-position model. The record is from RNAcentral.